RNAcentral lists this ribosomal RNA (164 nucleotides) under Grubovia dasyphylla. Its description in RNAcentral is "5.8S ribosomal RNA". It matches the Rfam family "5.8S ribosomal RNA". Rfam says of the family: 5.8S ribosomal RNA (5.8S rRNA) is a component of the large subunit of the eukaryotic ribosome. It is transcribed by RNA polymerase I as part of the 45S precursor that also contains 18S and 28S rRNA. RNAcentral also lists the same sequence under 6 other names. The record is from RNAcentral. Lineage: Eukaryota; Viridiplantae; Streptophyta; Magnoliopsida; Caryophyllales; Amaranthaceae.
AAAACGACUCUCGGCAACGGAUAUCUCGGCUCUCGCAUCGAUGAAGAACGUAGCGAAAUGCGAUACUUGGUGUGAAUUGCAGAAUCCCGUGAACCAUCGAGUCUUUGAACGCAAGUUGCGCCCGAAGCCUUUUGGUCGAGGGCACGUCUGCCUGGGCGUCACGC